UAGGGAAUAUUGCUUAAUGUGCGAAAGCGCGAAGCAGCAACGCCGCGUGUGCGAUGAAGGCCUUCGGGUCGUAAAGCACUUUUUAGAGGGAUGAGAAAGGACAGUACCUCUAGAAUAAGCCUCGGCUAACUACGUGCCAGCAGCCGCGGUAAAACGUAGGAGGCGAGCGUUAUCCGGAAUUACUGGGCGUAAAGCGCGUGCAGGCGGUUCGGUUAGUUGGAUGUGAAAGCUCCUGGCUUAACUGGGAGAGGUCGUUCAAUACUGCCGGACUUGAGAGUGGUAGAGGGAGAUGGAAUUCCGCAUGUAGUGGUGAAAUGCGUAGAUAUGCGGAGGAACACCAGUGGCGAAAGCGGUCUCCUGGCCCACUUCUGACGCUCAGACGCGAAAGCUAGGGUAGCAAACGGG
RNAcentral lists this ribosomal RNA (405 nucleotides) under uncultured bacterium. RNAcentral's name for it is "bacterial SSU rRNA". It matches the Rfam family "Bacterial small subunit ribosomal RNA", at positions 355 to 776 of the family's 1533-position model. The record is from RNAcentral.